Molecule: long non-coding RNA, 5272 nt
Organism: Gallus gallus (chicken)
Lineage: Eukaryota; Metazoa; Chordata; Aves; Galliformes; Phasianidae
Exons: 4
Source: RefSeq, a predicted model, not a curated record
UCUGUGUCUGCACGUGGAGGUGCUCACAGCUGAUGGCAUUUGCAUACACAUGGGUCACUCUGCGCUGCCGAUGACACUUCUUCCACCCUGGGGACGAGUGGAGCGAUGGGGCAGCUAGGAGCAGCCCAGCUCCCCUGCCUGCAGGGAGUAGGGGGACUCCAGCCCACCGCCCGUGUGCUGCCCACCCUGCCAUUGCCCAAAGUUGGCUGGGGUGUGUCCUCCAGCUUCACACCCUCAGUGCUGGGGUGCCAAGCGUGCAUACUGGGAAACACAGGCAGUGGUGGAACCGUCCCUCCUGGAGCAAGGCAGUCCUUUCUCUGCUCCGUGGCCGUGGCCGAGGGGGUGUUUGGCUGCAGGCUGAGCAAUUAGCAUUCAAUUACAGAAGCCAGAAGGAUUGGAACGGUUCUCCUUAUGGUUUUCUCUCAACCAAAGCCAACUUGUCUGAAUUAUGACCUAGGAAGCAUCACAUUAGAGGCAAGCAAGGUCUCCAAAACACAGACCUCACAGAAGAUGUUCCCCAGUGAUGCAGGGUUGCAAGCUGCCUGGACUACGUGUGGGGGGCCGUGACGAAUGGCUCAGAAAAGAGGGUGCUGUGAGAAACUGGAGCUGCGCUGGCGGAGUGGGUGAGGGACUGAGGAACCAGCACAGAGUCCAGGGCUGGUGGCACUGUGAUGCACAGGGAGCUGUGUGCCAGGUGCUGGAACCGCUGUGCUGCUCACCCCUGGGAAGGCCAAGAUGCACGUGGGACGAUCAGAGUGAGGGCUGCACGUGGGAUGGCUCUGCUCGCUGUGACAUCCCAGCCCUGCUCUCGGUGCUGCGGGCCCAUUGCCGGUGUGCUCAGUGCCUGCAGGAGGACAUGAGGAGAGAGAGCAUCCCUGAUGUGCAUCCUGCACCUUGCCCACCCAAGGCCAGAGCAGCUCCACCAGCAGCUCCUCACUGACCCUUCCUCCACCCCGCUCCCUCAGGCCCAGCUCUCCAUCCUCAGCCCCAGGGACGGAUCCUGCUGUCCCGCUGCCCACAGCAGGGCCCAGUCGGCAGCCUGCAGGGGACGGGCCUGGCAGGCUCCAGCAGCAGGAGGGCUCAUGCAUUACAAUCCAGUACAAUCUGUCCCCCUUCCCACUGCCCAGCGGUAGGGGAGACGGUUACUGUUUAAUCCCAUUUGACAGCUCUUUCAUCAUCUGCCUGCCUCCCUCCAGCUUCCCCAUGGUUCCUCCAAGGCUCCUUUGUGGCCAUAAUCAAAGCCUGGCAGAGAUGAGCCACGGUGCACAGGAGGAUGGCUCGGCACACACUUCGAGCGCCUCCUGGACUGACCAGACAACCUGCAGGGUCUGUACCAAGGCAUCUCCUCGCUCAGGAGUGGCAGAGCUGGGAGGUACGGGAACCUCCCCAAAAGGUACCGCAGCGCUGCUCCUGCAGCCCACGGCAGGCAGCCCAAGUGCCAUGGCCACGGGUAGGAUGGAAGCAGGGCCCCGUGCUUCCCAGGGAGGGAGUCUGCACGCCCGUGGGUUAUCGCCUGCAUCAGGGCUCGGUGACGGCGCUUCCCCAGAACACAUGUUCCCUCGUAAACCCGGGAUCCGCUUAUCUCAAAGGGCACAUCCGACAAUUAGCUUAUCUGCUGUGAAAGUGAGGAACAGCUUUAGUUAUCUGCCCGGCUUCCGCAAGCCAAAAAAAAAAAAAAAAAAAGGAGAAAGAGCCCCUGGAAGGACGAGGCGCAUACACAGCAUCCUAUAAAUAAAGUGAGUGCGCUGUGAGCGCGCUGCAGACAGGCUCCAUGUGCUCGCGGUGGGAGCUGGAGAUGCCCCCGAGUUUUAAGGACGCUUGGUGCUCCCUGGUGUCAAAUGCUGCCUUCGGCUGCUGGCAGCUUUGCCAAACCAUUCCAGGCUGGGUGGUAAUAUUUCAGGGUGGGUUGCGGCUUCUUAUUAAAUUUGGGGGGGGGGAAAGUCUCAUCCAGAGAGCCAGGCUGUUUCCAAGAGCGAGGGUACAAGGAGAUAAAGCAUUUGUCCUUAUUUUGUUUUAAAAUUCUGCCUUUUGAAGCAGGAGCUUGAAAUUUGGCAAGUAGGGAAGGGAGAGAGGCUGAGAUUUGUCUCGUGUCCCUGGAAUAUACUCAAAUUUGACCAAGUCAGAACACUUUAUUUGGGAAAAAAUGCACUUAGCACACACUGGCCGUGGAAGUGGGCCCUGCUCGGAGGUGCAGGUCCCCCCCUGCAUUUCCCACCCAGGUGGCACCAGGGGACAUCUGGGGAUGCUGGUGCUUCUUCCCCGGUGCUGCUCUUUGCUCGGCUCCCACAGCAGCAUGGCAGUGCUGGCUUCCCAGAUCAAUCUUCAUGGCUGCAUGGCGUGGCUGCGGCUGUGCUUGCUGAGCCCAUAGGACCUGAUGGAAGCCGUGGCUUCCCAAGUGAUUGGCCUGAGGCAGCCUGCAGACAGGUGAGCUCCCUUCUGCUGUGUUGUGUCCGAUGUCAUUUUGAGUGCCCCACAGCUUUUUUUCUCUUGUCCCUCAACAAACCAGCCUCAAUCACACAUGUAUAAUGAAGCAGAGAGUUUAACCAGCCCUGCGGUGAAGCCAUGCUCUGCGCUGAUGGACACUGGCAGUGCAAACUGCCCAAACCCAGGGUGCUGCAGGAAGGGACACUGUGAGUGUGGCCCCUCUGCUGCUGCCCCCCGUGCUCUACUCCCUGUCCCCAUCACUGCCACGGGCACAGAGAUGCUGGCAGGAGCAGGAGCCGGGGCUGCCGGGCAGCUCCUUGGCAGUGAUAGGCACCCAGCAAUGAAAGGAAAUGGCCAACAGAUGCUGGAGAGAAGGCUGCCAGAGUGCUCACGAUGGUUCGGAGCCCAACCGUAGGGCUGUAUGAUGCUGGUUGGCAUCACUCACCUCCCUGCCAGCACUGCCACCACUUUCCGGUGCCUGCUGGCCCGGCUGGCACCUUCCUGCCUGCAGGGCAGGGACCUUGCUGCUCUGCCCAGCCUGGAGCACCACCAACACCAACCACCAACACCAGCUGUUGGACAAGUCACUUUGUUGCAGGUCACUGCUUGAGGACUCCUUCCCGUGGAGACCUCAGGAGUGCAGUGGUGCAGUGCCCGGCCUGGGGGGAGGCAGGGAUGGCUCUGGGGCCGCUGCUAUCUGCUUAUGGUCACUGCCCACUGCCCCCUGGCCCAGCACUUUCUCCCUGCUCUCCCCAAAAUGCUCAUGAAGAAACAAGUAUCUUGUUUGCAAACUAAAAACUAGAAAUGAUUUAUAUGUUUAUAAGCCCAGCUCUGGCUCUCUUUAUUUUGGCAAAGGGAUUGUUUGCAUCUUUGCAGAAUUCCUUCACCCAAACCACUCAUUAGAUAUGAAUUUCAAAACAGCCGGAGGGAGCGGGUGACUCAGGGGAAUUAGCAAAUGGCUUCCCAAAGCCUUUUACGUCAAGGCCAGCAGCUCCAUGCCAGUGGCCCAGGAGAUGCUGUCACUCGACAUCUGGUCAGCGCCCUCAAGCCGGAGGGUGCGUUAAGAAGCUGGGCCUCCACUGCCCCGCUGGCAGGUGGCUCAGCUGGGGAAGCAGUGCAAAGAGAAGGGCUGAGAGCCACGGAUUCCAUCGCCAGGGCUUCAGUGACCUCCAGGCAGCGGGGCCACGGGUGCUGCUCGGGGCGGAGAUGCAUUCCCCAACAACCUUGCACCCUAUUGCAGGGGACUUCUGGAGGAGCGGGCCUGCAGCCUGGGCAUGGGAUAGCAAACGGGAGCUGUGAGGGCUGCGGGGAAGCGUAAGGGCUGUGUUGCUGGGGAGCAAGCAGGCUCAGCCCGUGCCCUGAGCCGUGGGGCUGAGCUCCUCCCCGAGCACUGCUUGGCCCUCGUCUUGCGAGCAGAGAUGAAAAUAAACUCAGCUGAAGGGUCCUUUAACUUUCUCUACUCGAGUGAAAAUAAAUGCGAUUUCCCUGCCACCCGGCCCUGUAAAUUCCCCUCGCUGUGAAAUAUCUUCCAGAUAUAGUAAAGAGACGGCUUUCGGCUAUUUUUUUAAACAUCUUUAACUGCUGUAUAUAUUUCCAGGGAGACGUAAUAAGCGCUGCAGCUAAUUUAUCUGCAUGUACUGUAAAUAUUUUCAGGAGAUAGCAGAAAGGAUUUCAAACACAUGGCUGGAGGACUGGCACACAGCGGACGCUGGGUGGGAAGGAUGCCGUUAACCCUCCGUUUGCCGCUGCCCUCCGCAGGCCGUCCCCGUGCCCCCGGCUGCAUGCGGGGGUACCCACAGAGGGGCAGAGGCUCUGCAUCCCCCUGCCCCCCCCUCCAGAUGAUACCUGCCCCAGCCUGGGCGGUGCUGGGAGAUACGGUGCUGAUGCUGCCAGCAUGGGGUGGGCUCUGGGAAGGCAGCGGCUGCGGUUUUAACCUCUGUGAGUGCCCAGCAGUGCUUGCAACCCUGUGUUCCUGCAGGGCUCCCAGCCCCACGGGAGAGGCCAGGGUGGCUGGAUAGCACUGAAGUGGGCUGUCAGCCUUCCAGAGGAUGCGUUUCAUGCUGUUCCUCCUGACUUCAGACUGUUCUCUUCCUAACGGGCUGACCACAUCACUGCUAUGUGCCACCACUGCACGUCCAGCUCUGUCUGCAGCACUGUAAUCCGCAGUGGAGAGAAGUCCCAGGGGCAGGUGAGGGCAGGGCAUGUCACAGGGCAGAUAUGGGGUGAGCGGCGGGGCGCUGGGUGGGAGAGCAGAGCCGUGUCAUCCUGAGAGCCUGUGCCUGGUGUCAGCAGGAAGCAUCACAAAAAGCGCAUUCAAUUCAAUGCCUGCUAUGGAGCUAACAGCCCCGUGUCACGAACAGCCUGUCCUGAAGCUGUGGGUCAUUGCAGUGCAAUGCUCACCCCUCAAAGGGGCUGCACUCUGGCCAGCUGGGCAAAUCUGCUGCAGGCAUCCCUUGCUGCUAUGGACACCCCUUGCUGCUGGUUAUCCUUCAUUGCUAUGGACUCCCCUUGCUUCUACGGACACCCCUCACUGCUGCCCCAUCCGUGGGGGAAGCUGGGGAGACCCUGGCCCUGCAUCCUCAGAUCUGGUGGCUGUGUGUCCCCUGCCACAUCGCUGCCCACUGCUCCUGCUGCAGCUGCACAGUGUGGCUCUGGGCUCUACUGCGGCUUUCUGCUUCCACCGAAGGAACCGUUCUCUCAGCUCAUGAUUUGUUCCCAAGCCUCAUUUUUGCAUGAUGCAAUUUAACACAGAGCAAGGACACAAAGUACCUGUUGGCUUGGAGCCCACCCUAAAAGCCGUAAAAAGGAGAUAAAAGCCUUUAAAUGCUAAGCCUGUCCGAGGAGACAA